RNAcentral lists this non-coding RNA (805 nucleotides) under Cerceris albofasciata. The record is from RNAcentral. Lineage: Eukaryota; Metazoa; Arthropoda; Insecta; Hymenoptera; Crabronidae.
AUAAAAUAUGAUAUAAGUUUGAUAAUUAGUUAUUUAAUAUUAUUAUAUAAAAAAUUUUUUAUAAAAUAUAUAAAAUUUUAAAAAUUUUAUAAAUUAAAAGAAAAUUAAUAUUUAAAUUUAUUUUAAUAAUUAGGGUUAUUUUUAGAAAUUUAUUUAAAUAUGGAUAAAAUUAGUGCCAGCAAUUGCGGUUAAACUAAACAUAUAAAUUAAUUGGGUGAAUAUGAAAAUUAUAAAUUAAAUGGGGGUUAUAAUAAAUUUUUUAUUUUUUUGGUGGAAUAAAAAAAAAAUAAAUAUUUUAUUAUUUUUAAAUUUUAAAAUUUUUAUAAAUUAAUUUAUUAAACUAGGAUUAGAUACCCUAUUAUUUAAAUGAAAUUAUAAAAUAUUUGAUUAUUAAAUGUUGAAUCAUUAAAAUUAUUAAAUUUGGCGGUUUUUUAUUCUCAUUAGAGGAACUUGUAGUGUAAUUGAUGAUCCACGAUAGGAUUUACUAAUUUUUGUAUAUUUAUGUAUUGUUGUUUAAAGAUUUUAAUUAAAAUUUUAUAAUUUAAAUAUUUAAUAUUUUUUUUUAAAAAUUUUGAGAAUAGAAAUUCAAAUCAAAAUGUAGUAUAAAUUAGAAUUUUAUGAGUUACAAUUAAUUAAAUUUGAGGAUAAAAAUUUUAAUAUUUUAUUGAAAAUGGAUUUAAAAGUAAAUUUUUAUAAUUAUUAAAUUUGAAAUGAGUUUUAAAAAAUGUACAAAUUGCCCGUCAAUUUCAUUAGUAAUGAAGUAAGUCGUAACAAAGUAAAGGUACUGGAAAGUGUUUUUAGAAUG